UGGGGGAUAUUGCACAAUGGGCGAAAGCCUGAUGCAGCGACGCCGCGUGGGGGAUGAAGGCUUUCGGGUUGUAAACCUCUUUCGCUAUCGAACAAGGCCCGCUUAGGGUGGGUUGAGGGUAGGUGGAGAAGAAGCGCCGGCUAACUACGUGCCAGCAGCCGCGGUAAUACGUAGGGCGCGAGCGUUGUCCGGAAUUAUUGGGCGUAAAGGGCUUGUAGGCGGCUUGUUGCGCCUGCUGUGAAAACGCGGGGCUUAACUUCGCGCGUGCAAUGGGUACGGGAAGGCUUGAGUGUGGUAGGGGUGACUGGAAUUCCAGGUGUAGCGGUGGAAUGCGCAGAUAUCUGGAGGAACACCGAUGGCGAAGGCAGGUCACUGGGCCAUUACUGACGCUGAGGAGCGAAAGCAUGGGUAGCGAACAGG
RNAcentral lists this ribosomal RNA (420 nucleotides) under bacterium. Its description in RNAcentral is "partial 16S ribosomal RNA". It matches the Rfam family "Bacterial small subunit ribosomal RNA", at positions 355 to 776 of the family's 1533-position model. The record is from RNAcentral.